CAGCGCCACGAGUGGCAAUCACGAUUAUUGGGCCUAAAGCGUCCGUAGCCGGUUCGGUAAAUCCUUUGUGAAAUCGCCAGGCUUAACCUGGCGGCGUGCAGGGGACACUGCCGAACUCGAGACCGGGAGGAGUCAGAAGUAUUUUGGGGGGAGCGGUAAAAUGCUAUAAUCCCUGAAAGACUACCUAUGGCGAAGGCAUCUGACUAGAACGGAUCUGACGGUGAGGGACGAAAGCCAGGGGAGCGAACCGGAUUAGAGACCCGAGUAGUCC
Molecule: ribosomal RNA, 271 nt
Filed under: uncultured archaeon
Lineage: Archaea
Description: partial 16S ribosomal RNA
Rfam family: Archaeal small subunit ribosomal RNA
Source: RNAcentral